This 58-nucleotide non-coding RNA is filed under the name Spodoptera frugiperda (fall armyworm). The record is from RNAcentral. Lineage: Eukaryota; Metazoa; Arthropoda; Insecta; Lepidoptera; Noctuidae.
CUGCUGGCCACUGCACAAGAUUAGUUAGAACUAUACUCUUGUGCGUGUGACAGCGGCU